This 763-nucleotide ribosomal RNA is filed under the name Escherichia coli. Its description in RNAcentral is "partial 23S ribosomal RNA". It matches the Rfam family "Bacterial large subunit ribosomal RNA", at positions 2159 to 2916 of the family's 2925-position model. Lineage: Bacteria; Pseudomonadati; Pseudomonadota; Gammaproteobacteria; Enterobacterales; Enterobacteriaceae. RNAcentral also lists the same sequence under 1 other name. The record is from RNAcentral.
GAAGUGUGGACGCCAGUCUGCAUGGAGCCGGCCUUGAAAUACCACCCUUUAAUGUUUGAUGUUCUAACGUUGGCCCCUGAUCGGGGUUGCGGACAGUGUCUGGUGGGUAGUUUGACUGGGGCGGUCUCCUCCUAAAGAGUAACGGAGGAGCACGAAGGUUGGCUAAUCCUGGUCGGACAUCAGGAGGUUAGUGCAAUGGCAUAAGCCAGCUUGACUGCGAGCGUGACGGCGCGAGCAGGUGCGAAAGCAGGUCAUAGUGAUCCGGUGGUUCUGAAUGGAAGGGCCAUCGCUCAACGGAUAAAAGGUACUCCGGGGAUAACAGGCUGAUACCGCCCAAGAGUUCAUAUCGACGGCGGUGUUUGGCACCUCGAUGUCGGCUCAUCACAUCCUGGGGCUGAAGUAGGUCCCAAGGGUAUGGCUGUUCGCCAUUUAAAGUGGUACGCGAGCUGGGUUUAGAACGUCGUGAGACAGUUCGGUCCCUAUCUGCCGUGGGCGCUGGAGAACUGAGGGGGGCUGCUCCUAGUACGAGAGGACCGGAGUGGACGCAUCACUGGUGUUCGGGUUGUCAUGCCAAUGGCACUGCCCGGUAGCUAAAUGCGGAAGAGAUAAGUGCUGAAAGCAUCUAAGCACGAAACUUGCCCCGAGAUGAGUUCUCCCUGACUCCUUGAGAGUCCUGAAGGAACGUUGAAGACGACGACGUUGAUAGGCCGGGUGUGUAAGCGCAGCGAUGCGUUGAGCUAACCGGUACUAAUGAACCGUGAGG